This 460-nucleotide ribosomal RNA is filed under the name uncultured bacterium. Its description in RNAcentral is "partial 16S ribosomal RNA". It matches the Rfam family "Bacterial small subunit ribosomal RNA", at positions 338 to 795 of the family's 1533-position model. The record is from RNAcentral.
CCUACGGGUGGCAGCAGUGAGGAAUAUUGGUCAAUGGACGAGAGUCUGAACCAGCCAAGUAGCGUGAAGGAUGACUGCCCUAUGGGUUGUAAACUUCUUUUAUAUGGGAAUAAAACGUUCCACGUGUGGGAUUUUGUAUGUACCAUAUGAAUAAGAAUCGGCUAACUCCGUGCCAGCAGCCGCGGUAAUACGGAGGAUCCGAGCGUUAUCCGGAUUUAUUGGGUUUAAAGGGAGCGUAGGUGGAUUGUUAAGUCAGUUGUGAAAGUUUGCGGCUCAACCGUAAAAUUGCAGUUGAAACUGGCAGUCUUGAGUACAGUAGAGGUGGGCGGAAUUCGUGGGGUAGCGGUGAAAUGCUUAGAUAUCACGAAGAACUCCGAUUGCGAAGGCAGUUCACUGGACUGCAACUGACACUGAGGCUCGAAAGUGUGGGUAUCAAACAGGAUUAGAUACCCGAGUAGUC